AAAAAAUCCCAGUGACUCAGCACAGUGAGCGAGGAGCACAAUAGGGUGGUUACCCAGACAGGACGUCCAUCUAGGAGCCCUGCGGGAGGCAUGCAGGUAUUUCUCUGGAGGUCAUGCCUGGCAGGCGUCCACUGUUAGAGCCAGAGGACCCGGAGCAUUAUCUGAAUGAACUAAUGACCAACAGGCGGGCAGAAAUGAGUGCUGCGGAUUGAUAACAGGGACAGCCAGACCCCCUCCCAUCCCCACGAGGCAGAGGCACCAGGGAACAACUGCAGAGUUCUGACUACUCAAUCACAGUGCAAUGAGUAAUGGAAGGCUACGUAGUGGCAAGAAUUGAAAAGAAGACCAGGCGCAGUGGCUCACGCCUGGAAUCCGAGCACUUUGGGAAGCCAAAGCAGGAGGAUUGCUUGAGCUCAGGAAUUCGAGAGCUUGAGACUAGCCUAAGCAACAUAGCCACCUGGCUUUCCCACACAUCAACCUCGUGCUCACACCCCACUCUGGAGACCACCAGCUUCGAGGCAAAAAGAGAGAACGACGUACAAUGGGCAUCUUCCCUCAUCCACCCCAUUUCAAAGAGGGUUCUGCUUGCAGGAACUCAAAGCUCAGAGCUUUUAGCUUCCCAAAGCCCUAUUUCCAAACUAAAGCAAAGGUCCUUUAGAAUUUGCACGGCGGGCUGUGCAAAAUGAGAGAGAAGGAAAUCGCUGGCAGAAAUAUCCCCGAAGAAGGGAUUUCUCCCCCAAAGACCAGAAAGCAAUUCUUCUAGGUUAGGGGAAUGAGGAGACAUACAGAGAAAACAAGAGGCUUGGGAGUUCCUCAUGAAAGGACUGGACCUGGAGUGGCCAUGCAGGAGAGGUGCAAGGGACUUGGAGCCCCUGAAGCUUCAGGAGAGCUGCGUGGCCCAUGUCCUGCUGCACCGGCAGCCAUCACGCCCAUGAGCCCUGCCUGUGUCCAGAAACAGUGCUGCUGUCCUUGACCUCGUCACUCUGCAAGGACUUCGCUUCCCCAGCAGGCAGUUCACCUCUGGAUACCCCUCCCUGAUGCAAACUUUGCUCAUGUCAUGUCUAUCAAGAUCAAGAAAAUGGAGCCCAUAACUGAGAUCAGCACAUGGGUAAGGAAACUGCUGAAUGGAAGGAGCUCCAAGACCUGGAACUGAGACCGAAGCUGGCAACAUGGCGGGAUGUUGCACCCCCCACACACACGCUCACACGUGGUUUUCAUUCCUUCUUUCAUAUUACGGCGGGCGUGGAAUUACCAGUCAAUUUGACAUUUAUAAAUACAUUAACUAGCGCUUCCAAUUCUUCUCCUGCUUCCAAGUUUGUUCUCACCACCUCACAGAAAAUGCUGGGGACAGAAUUAAAUGCAGAGUAAUCUAAACAAGCUUUGAUAUGUCAUAUGUCUUUCCUACUGAAUAAGCUAAACCAACCAGGGUAAUUUAGUGAUACUUGGGCAAGAAAACUAGGAAUUACGCACACUUUCCUUUUCCAAAUUCCCCACAUGGAAGUCUGUGAAUUCUACUGCAAUUACAGUGGUAUAAUAAAAAAGAUAUGCUUGGCU
RNAcentral lists this long non-coding RNA (1554 nucleotides) under Homo sapiens (human). Its description in RNAcentral is "HSALNT0325382". Lineage: Eukaryota; Metazoa; Chordata; Mammalia; Primates; Hominidae. The record is from RNAcentral.